UGGGGAAUAUUGGACAAUGGGCGAAAGCCUGAUCCAGCAAUGCCGCGUGAGUGAAGAAGGUCUUCGGAUUGUAAAGCUCUUUCGACGGGGACGAUGAUGACGGUACCCGUAGAAGAAGCCCCGGCUAACUUCGUGCCAGCAGCCGCGGUAAUACGAAGGGGGCUAGCGUUGCUCGGAAUGACUGGGCGUAAAGGGCGCGUAGGCGGUUUGUACAGUCAGAUGUGAAAUUCCUGGGCUCAACCUGGGGGCUGCAUUUGAUACGUAUGGACUGGAGUGAGGAAGAGGGUCGUGGAAUUCCCAGUGUAGAGGUGAAAUUCGUAGAUAUUGGGAAGAACACCGGUGGCGAAGGCGGCGACCUGGUCCUUUACUGACGCUGAGGCGCGAAAGCGUGGGGAGCAAACAGGAUUAGAUACCCCCGUAGUCC
Molecule: ribosomal RNA, 424 nt
Filed under: uncultured bacterium
Lineage: Bacteria
Description: bacterial SSU rRNA
Rfam family: Bacterial small subunit ribosomal RNA
Source: RNAcentral